This 213-nucleotide long non-coding RNA is filed under the name Lathyrus oleraceus (garden pea). RNAcentral's name for it is "Pisum sativum (pea) long non-coding RNA (PSAT_LNC026411)". The record is from RNAcentral. Lineage: Eukaryota; Viridiplantae; Streptophyta; Magnoliopsida; Fabales; Fabaceae.
UUAAAGGUUGGGUGCAAAAAAUGUUUUGGAAUAAUGGAACAAUAAAUUGUAAAAUAGAAAUUAAGAACAAAAUGAAAUAAAAAAAAUGCAAAAAUGAUUUUAAAAAUUAAGAUAAAAAAGUAUGUGAUGCAAACAUUUUUUAAAGACUUUGUGUAAAAAUGAUUGGGUGAAAAUGAAUUAAAAUGAGUGAGAAUUUAAAUUGGGAAUGAAAAA